UACGGAGGGUGCGAGCGUUGUCCGGAAUCACUGGGCGUAAAGGGCGCGUAGGCGGCGCGGAUAGUCAUCGGUGAAAGUUCAGGGCUCAACUCUGAAUCGGCCGGUGAUACUCCCGUGCUCGAGCACUGUAGAGGCAGGUGGAAUUCCGGGUGUAGCGGUGGAAUGCGUAGAGAUCCGGAAGAACACCGGUGGCGAAGGCGGCCUGCUGGGCAGUAGCUGACGCUGAUGCGCGACAGCGUGGGGAGCAAACAGG
This 253-nucleotide ribosomal RNA is filed under the name uncultured bacterium. RNAcentral's name for it is "partial 16S ribosomal RNA". It matches the Rfam family "Bacterial small subunit ribosomal RNA", at positions 524 to 776 of the family's 1533-position model. The record is from RNAcentral.